UAGGGAAUCUUCGGCAAUGGACGAAAGUCUGACCGAGCAACGCCGCGUGAGUGAAGAAGGUUUUCGGAUCGUAAAACUCUGUUGUUAGAGAAGAACAAGGACGUUAGUAACUGAACGUCCCCUGACGGUAUCUAACCAGAAAGCCACGGCUAACUACGUGCCAGCAGCCGCGGUAAUACGUAGGUGGCAAGCGUUGUCCGGAUUUAUUGGGCGUAAAGCGAGCGCAGGCGGUUUCUUAAGUCUGAUGUGAAAGCCCCCGGCUCAACCGGGGAGGGUCAUUGGAAACUGGGGGGCUUGAGUGCAGAAGAGGAGAGUGGAAUUCCAGGUGUAGCGGUGGAAUGCGUAGAUAUAUGGAGAAACACCAGUGGCGAAGGCGGCGCUCUGGUAUGUAACUGACGCUGAGGCUCGAAAGCGUGGGGAGCAAACAGG
RNAcentral lists this ribosomal RNA (429 nucleotides) under Gemmatimonadota bacterium. RNAcentral describes it as "Gemmatimonadetes bacterium partial 16S ribosomal RNA". It matches the Rfam family "Bacterial small subunit ribosomal RNA", at positions 355 to 776 of the family's 1533-position model. Lineage: Bacteria; Pseudomonadati; Gemmatimonadota. The record is from RNAcentral.